UUCAAUCUGGAAACAUCAAUGCUGCC
This 26-nucleotide non-coding RNA is filed under the name Callithrix jacchus (white-tufted-ear marmoset). Lineage: Eukaryota; Metazoa; Chordata; Mammalia; Primates; Cebidae. The record is from RNAcentral. RNAcentral also lists the same sequence under 1 other name.